Molecule: ribosomal RNA, 645 nt
Filed under: Weissella minor
Lineage: Bacteria; Bacillati; Bacillota; Bacilli; Lactobacillales; Lactobacillaceae
Description: bacterial SSU rRNA
Rfam family: Bacterial small subunit ribosomal RNA
Source: RNAcentral
CACUGAUUAUGAAGAGCUUGCUCGGAUUUGAAGAUGAACACUCUGCAAAGAGUGGCGAACGGGUGAGUAACACGUGGGAAACCUACCUCUUAGCGGGGGAUAACACUUGGAAACAAGUGCUAAUACCGCAUAAUACUGAUAACCGCAUGGUUAUCAGUUGAAAGAUGGUUCUGCUAUCACUAAGAGAUGGUCCCGCGGUGUAUUAGCUAGUUGGUAAGGUAAUGGCUUACCAAGGCAAUGAUACAUAGCCGAGUUGAGAGACUGAUCGGCCACAAUGGGACUGAGACACGGCCCAUACUCCUACGGGAGGCAGCAGUAGGGAAUCUUCCACAAUGGACGAAAGUCUGAUGGAGCAACGCCGCGUGUGUGAUGAAGGGUUUCGGCUCGUAAAACACUGUUGUAAGAGAAGAAUGACAUUGAGAGUAACUGUUCAGUGUGUGACGGUAUCUUACCAGAAAGGAACGGCUAAAUACGUGCCAGCAGCCGCGGUAAUACGUAUGUUCCAAGCGUUAUCCGGAUUUAUUGGGCGUAAAGCGAGCGCAGACGGUUGUUUAAGUCUGAAGUGAAAGCCCACAGCUUAACUGUGGAAGUGCUUUGGAAACUGGAUAACUUGAGUGCAGUAGAGGAGAGUGGAACUCCAUGUGU